UUUUAUUUUUGUCUGGCUUUAAAACUGGGAUUAAACAGUCUGUUUUCCAUUCUGGAGGAAUAGUAUUCUCCUUCCAUAGGCGAUUAAGAUUAUUUAAAAAGAUGUUGAGACUGUGGCAAUUAAGUUUUUUGAGUAAAAUAUAUGGAAUGGUAUCGAGACCGAAAGAUGUAUCUCUUCUAGUAAAUAAAGCGGAUUUUAGUUCUUGUAAAGAAAAAGGCUCUAUCAAAUAUUUAUUACUAUCAUUAACAACAUUUACAUAGUUAGUUAACUUAUUUGAUACAAAGUCAGAAGUAUACUUUUGUAGAAAAUCUGGAAUCCAACUAUCAUUCAACACACUGUCAGGAAUCAUUUAAAACUGCUUCUGUACACCUCUGAUUCCACCAAGGCGACCAAGGAUAUUUAAAAGAUUUUUGUGAACAAGAACUAGUAACAUUAUUACUAUUAGAACUUUUGGAAAACAGACAGCUAGGGAUUGACUGCUUGGCAGCAGAAAGUAAAAUAUUACAAAAGGAAUUAAAAGCAUCUAUUGAAGAUAAAGUGUCAAAUUUAACAUCAUCCAAAUAAGAAACAACUAAGUUACUAUACAUAUUCCAAUUCACCUGCUUAUAAUUAGGGGAGAUGAUAACUACUGCCCAGAGGACUGUCAAUAACUGACCAGUCACAUAAAAGAGCCAAUGAUGGAGUUACCAAAGUCAAGUCAAGAGCAUUAGGACGCCAAGAUGGAGAUCCUAUUGUGGUAGCUUGACCAUUAUUCAGAAUAACAAGACC
Molecule: long non-coding RNA, 768 nt
Organism: Leptidea sinapis
Lineage: Eukaryota; Metazoa; Arthropoda; Insecta; Lepidoptera; Pieridae
Exons: 3
Source: RefSeq, a predicted model, not a curated record